CAACCUGCCCAUCACUUGGGGAUAACCUUGCGAAAGUAAGACUAAUACCCAAUGAUAUCUCUAGAAGACAUCUGAAAGAGAUUAAAGAUUUAUCGGUGAUGGAUGGGGAUGCGUCUGAUUAGCUUGUUGGCGGGGUAACGGCCCACCAAGGCAACGAUCAGUAGGGGUUCUGAGAGGAAGGUCCCCCACAUUGGAACUGAGACACGGUCCAAACUCCUACGGGAGGCAGCAGUGAGGAAUAUUGGUCAAUGGACGAGAGUCUGAACCAGCCAAGUAGCGUGCAGGAAGACGGCCCUAUGGGUUGUAAACUGCUUUUAUAAGGGAAUAAAGUGAGUCUCGUGAGACUUUUUGCAUGUACCUUAUGAAUAAGGACCGGCUAAUUCCGUGCCAGCAGCCGCGGUAAUACGGAAGGUCCGGGCGUUAUCCGGAUUUAUUGGGUUUAAAGGGAGCGUAGGCCGGAGAUUAAGCGUGUUGUGAAAUGUAGACGCUCAACGUCUGCACUGCAGCGCGAACUGGUUUCCUUGAGUACGCACAAAGUGGGCGGAAUUCGUGGUGUAGCGGUGAAAUGCUUAGAUAUCACGAAGAACUCCGAUUG
Molecule: ribosomal RNA, 595 nt
Filed under: uncultured Bacteroidota bacterium
Lineage: Bacteria; Pseudomonadati; Bacteroidota
Description: bacterial SSU rRNA
Rfam family: Bacterial small subunit ribosomal RNA
Source: RNAcentral